GAGCUGGGGCUCAGUGGUAGAGUGCUUGCCUAGCAUGCGUGAGGCACUGGGUUCAAUCCUCAGCACCACA
Molecule: transfer RNA, 70 nt
Filed under: Marmota monax (woodchuck)
Lineage: Eukaryota; Metazoa; Chordata; Mammalia; Rodentia; Sciuridae
Description: tRNA.Ala
Source: RNAcentral